GAUGAACGCUGGCGGCGUGCCUAAUACAUGCAAGUCGAGCGAACGGACGAGAAGCUUGCUUCUCUGAUGUUAGCGGCGGACGGGUGAGUAACACGUGGAUAACCUACCUAUAAGACUGGGAUAACUUCGGGAAACCGUAGCUAAUACCGGAUAAUAUUUUGAACCGCAUGGUUCAAAAGUGAAAGACGGUCUUGCUGUCACUUAUAGAUGGAUCCGCGCUGCAUUAGCUAGUUGGUAAGGUAACGGCUUACCAAGGCAACGAUGCAUAGCCGACCUGAGAGGGUGAUCGGCCACACUGGAACUGAGACACGGUCCAGACUCCUACGGGAGGCAGCAGUAGGGAAUCUUCCGCAAUGGGCGAAAGCCUGACGGAGCAACGCCGCGUGAGUGAUGAAGGUCUUCGGAUCGUAAAACUCUGUUAUUAGGGAAGAACAUAUGUGUAAGUAACUGUGCACAUCUGGACGGUACCUAAUCAGAAAGCCACGGCGAACUACGU
Molecule: ribosomal RNA, 496 nt
Filed under: uncultured bacterium
Lineage: Bacteria
Description: partial 16S ribosomal RNA
Rfam family: Bacterial small subunit ribosomal RNA
Source: RNAcentral